This 373-nucleotide unclassified non-coding RNA is filed under the name soil metagenome. RNAcentral describes it as "partial contains internal transcribed spacer 2 and large subunit ribosomal RNA". The stretch from base 1 to 120 matches the Rfam family "5.8S ribosomal RNA", at positions 35 to 154 of the family's 154-position model. The record is from RNAcentral.
GAUGAAGAACGUAGCGAAAUGCGAUAAUUAAUGUGAAUUGCAGAAUUCCGUGAAUCAUCGAGUCUUUGAACGCACAUUGCGCCUCAUGGCAUUCCGUGAGGCAUGCCCAUCUCAGCGUUAGAAAAUAUUCUCAAAUUUUAGUUUUGUGCUAAAAUUUGGAUCAUGUCAAAGAAGCUAUUACUAUUAUUGUGAUCGCUCUUUGGAAAUUGAUAGGUCUUUGAGUUGCUACUCAUAGAACGUGAUGAAUCUUUCUUCGUUCUAUUGUAAUUCACUCUGGUAGUCCUAAAACUUGUAUGCCUGUGGUAUAUCUUGUAAUUUGACCUGAGAUUGGGUAGGGAUACCCGCUGAACUUAAGCAUAUCAAUAAGCGGAGG